Molecule: long non-coding RNA, 490 nt
Organism: Melospiza melodia melodia
Lineage: Eukaryota; Metazoa; Chordata; Aves; Passeriformes; Passerellidae
Exons: 3
Source: RefSeq, a predicted model, not a curated record
GUUGGGGACAGGAAAGUCCCCUGGCACUGUGGCACCAAGAGGAAGAAGAUGCUCCAGCUGUGCAGAUGCUGCAGUAAAACGAGGGAAACUGAGGCACAGGGCUAAUCGCUGUGGAUGCCUGAGGGAUGCACGCACUCCAGACCCUGGGAGCAGCGGGAGAAGGGAGAAUCCAGCCUGCGCCAGCCCUGCCAGGGGCAUCACGGUGGGAUUUGAGCCCUGCUGGCUGCUCGGAGGAUAUGGUCACCCCAGACUGCUGCAUGGACCCAGCGCCUUUUGAGACCCUGGAUUUUUGGCUGAGAAGGUGUUUGGUGCAGAAAGUCUCAUCUGCUGAGGGAGCCCUUCACCUUCUUGCUGCAACCAGAGGUCACCACAGCCAGAGCAGUGCACCCAGCUGGGGUGAAAUCAGGCAAGUUCUCUCACUGCUGGACUUCUGAGGUGGAGAAACUGGUCACCCUCCAGUCCCACGAGGAGCUCUUCACAAUCUGGACCU